This 1297-nucleotide ribosomal RNA is filed under the name Plesionika edwardsii. Its description in RNAcentral is "16S ribosomal RNA". The stretch from base 594 to 1297 matches the Rfam family "Archaeal large subunit ribosomal RNA", at positions 1423 to 2808 of the family's 2987-position model. The record is from RNAcentral. Lineage: Eukaryota; Metazoa; Arthropoda; Malacostraca; Decapoda; Pandalidae.
UGUUUAGAUAUUGUAUAUAAACGAUUAAUAUAAUUAUUUGGUAAGUAUAAAAACUGAAUACCUACUUUAGAUGAUAGUGAAUAGUAUUGUAAAAGAAAGCUUAAGCAACUGUGGGCUGGAAUAAAGAAAUAAUGAAAGUAUGUACCUUUUGUAUCAGGGGUAAUCAAUGUAUAUGUGUUAUUAUACAAAGUCCCGAAAAAACAGGAGUUAAAUUUAAAAUAUUGGUUACGUGGAAAAGUAAUAUUAAAUUUAAAUUUAGUAGUGAAAUGUUAGUCGAUUGUUGUAUAUCUGGUUCUCUCUGAAAAAAAUUUAAUUUGAAGGAUUGUUGAAUUAAGCAAAUUUUUUAAUUGUAGGAGGCAUAAGCUUCUUAUAUUAAUUUACUAUGAGAUAUAAAAUAAUCAGUGGUUUAACUUGGCUUAAAAUCAGUCAUUUUGAUAAAGCGUUUUAGAUAAGAUCAAAAACAAGUAAUGAUUUAUAUAGUUUUAUAGGAUAGUAAGCGAGAAUAAAUUUUAAUUGCUGAUGUUUAAUUAAAAUGAUUGUAUUAGUAAUGAAAAUAUUUGUUGUUGUUUAAGUCAAGAUAUUAAUGAAAAUUUUGGGAUUUAAAUGAUAUAUAAAAGGAACUCGGCAAAUGAUAACUCUUGCCUGUUUAUCAAAAACAUGUCUGUAUGAAGAAUAAUAUAAAGUCUGGCCUGCCCACUGAAUUUAUUUAAAGGGCCGCAGUAAUUUGACUGUGCGAAGGUAGCAUAAUCAAUAGUCUUUUAAUUGAAGGCUGGAAUGAAUGGUCGGACAAAGAGUAAGCUGUCUUUUUAAUAUUUCUUGAAGUUUACCUUUAAGUGAAAAGGCUUAAAUGUAAUUGGGGGACGAUAAGACCCUAUAAAACUUUACAGUGGGGUCUGUGUUUUUUUAAAAUAAUGUAUAAUAUGAGCUACAGCCUGUCUGUUAUGUUGGGGAGACAUUAUCAUAAUAAGUAACUGUAAUAAAUAAAAAAUAAUAAUAAUUAGGUUAAUUGAUCCUUUAUUAAAGAUUAUAAGAUUAAGUUACUUUAGGGAUAACAGCGUAAUUCUCUUUGAGAGUUCUUAUCGACAAGAGUAGUUGCGACCUCGAUGUUGAAUUAAGAUUUCUUUAAAGUGUAGCAGCUUUAAAAGUAGGUCUGUUCGACCUUUAAAAUCUUACAUGAUUUGAGUUCAAACCGGUGUGAGCCAGGUUGGUUUCUAUCCUCUGUCUAAGAUUGAAUUACUUUAGUACGAAAGGAUUAAGUGGUUAGAAAACUUCUUUAGUGGAGAAGAAUUUUAAUUUU